This 220-nucleotide unclassified non-coding RNA is filed under the name uncultured Thelephoraceae. RNAcentral's name for it is "sequence contains ITS2". Lineage: Eukaryota; Fungi; Basidiomycota; Agaricomycetes; Thelephorales; Thelephoraceae. The record is from RNAcentral.
ACACUUCAACUCCUCGUGGCUUGCCAUGAUGAGCUUGGACUUUGGGGGUUUUGCUGGUCUACGGCCGGCUCCUCUCAAAUGAAUUAGCUUGCCAGUGUUUGGUGGCAUCACAGGUGUGAUAAAUAUCUACACUUGUGGUUUUCUGCCAGGUAACCUUCAGUGGAUGGAGGUUCGCUGGGGCUCAUAAAUGUCUCUCCUCAGUGAGGACAGCUCUUUGAAC